CGAUUUUUCGCUCAAACAUCCAACCCUCUCCCGGCUAUAUAUAUCCAUCAUCCCCAUAACAUUUUCGCCCCCGCCACGGUUCAGAACACGUCACGGGCGGGAGGAGUUUUAAAACACUCGCGGCCCACGUGAAAGCCUGUCAGUAAAACGGGGAAUAGAGGGGAGUACCUAUGCAUAUUGUAUAUAUUAUAUAUUAUAGUAUAAAAUAUGUACACAGGUACAAAGAUUCGGUGGGCGGGACGGCCCCUCGAUUUCCAUUAAAAGUUUUAAUCCCUACGCUCC
This is a non-coding RNA of Cinara cedri, 282 nucleotides long. The record is from the annotation of a GenBank genome assembly. Lineage: Eukaryota; Metazoa; Arthropoda; Insecta; Hemiptera; Aphididae.